RNAcentral lists this ribosomal RNA (483 nucleotides) under Rhodoferax sp. 01WB02.1-27. RNAcentral's name for it is "bacterial SSU rRNA". It matches the Rfam family "Bacterial small subunit ribosomal RNA", at positions 1 to 483 of the family's 1533-position model. The record is from RNAcentral. Lineage: Bacteria; Pseudomonadati; Pseudomonadota; Betaproteobacteria; Burkholderiales; Comamonadaceae.
UGAGCUUGAAUCCUGGCUCAGAUUGAACGCUGGCGGCAUGCCUUACACAUGCAAGUCGAACGGCAGCACGGGAGCAAUCCUGGUGGCGAGUGGCGAACGGGUGAGUAAUAUAUCGGAACGUGCCCAGUCGUGGGGGAUAACGCAGCGAAAGCUGUGCUAAUACCGCAUACGAUCUCUGGAUGAAAGCGGGGGACUCGCAAGAGCCUCGCGCGAUUGGAGCGGCCGAUAUCAGAUUAGCUAGUUGGUGGGGUAAAGGCCCACCAAGGCGACGAUCUGUAGCUGGUCUGAGAGGACGACCAGCCACACUGGAACUGAGACACGGUCCAGACUCCUACGGGAGGCAGCAGUGGGGAAUUUUGGACAAUGGGCGCAAGCCUGAUCCAGCAAUGCCGCGUGCAGGAUGAAGGCCUUCGGGUUGUAAACUGCUUUUGUACGGAACGAAAAGGUCUGCCUUAAUACGGUGGGCCCAUGACGGUACCGUAG